Molecule: non-coding RNA, 117 nt
Filed under: Pan paniscus (pygmy chimpanzee)
Lineage: Eukaryota; Metazoa; Chordata; Mammalia; Primates; Hominidae
Also listed under: 1 other name
Source: Rfam by way of RNAcentral
GCCAGGCAUGUUGGCUCAUGCCUGUCAUCCUAGCACUUUGGGAGGCUGAGAUGGGAGGAUUGCUUGAGCCCAGGAGUUUGAGACAAGCCUGGGCAACAUAGCAAGACUCCAUCUCUA